RNAcentral lists this long non-coding RNA (1450 nucleotides) under Betta splendens (Siamese fighting fish). Its description in RNAcentral is "lncRNA (ENSBSLG00000011618.1)". The record is from RNAcentral. Lineage: Eukaryota; Metazoa; Chordata; Actinopteri; Anabantiformes; Osphronemidae.
GCAUUUAUAGUAAAUUUCACAUUUUAUUUGUGCAGCCACUGGCGUUCUGGCUGCACAAAUUAAAUUUGAAUGAAAAAAGAAGAAUAUUAAAAAUAAUACAUGACUUCAUCGUUAUGUUUGUGUACUUCACAAUCCAUUGAACGUUGAAGUUAUUUACAUGUUUUGGUGGAUCGGGAAGUUAAAAAAGAAGAAGAAGACGAAUGUCAUCCACAGUCUUUAGGAGGAAUUUGAGUAUAUUAAGUGGAUCGAAGGAGAGUAGAAGAAGGUAGAGGGCGGUAAAUGAAGUUUAAGGGUGCUCGACACUCCAAGGAUAAGAGGAGGAAGAAGAAGAAGAAGAAGAAUCACCAGAGUUAAAGAAGAAAGAAGAAGAAAACGAACGUCCCCCGCAGUCCGUAGGAGGACCAAUAAAAGUUCAAAUAACGACACAUGCGCACUGGACAUGAUCCGAUGGAGGUAGGUAAUAAUAGUAAAAAUUAAAGUAAAGCUCCAAAAGUCUGUCAGAGUGAGCUUUCUGUACUGUAAGCGCGAUUGCGUGUCAGUGUGAGCGCUCGCUGUGAUUUUUGUUUAAUAAGGGAUCUUUGCCGCAUGUUUGGCUCGGUAAAGUUUGCUUUUUUUCGCUGCGACAUUAGUUCGGAGAAGCUCCGUGUGUGUGCUGGAAGUGCGCUGAACGUUUGUGCUUUAGAGAAUUUUCGACUUUGUGGCAAGAGGACCCUUCUCUCUUCCACCGCAUGCAUAGUAUCCGGAGCAUAAACCAGGACCCAGCUGGACUUCAUGAUGAGCCUGUCCAGCCUCUCAGUGAUGCUGCUGCAUUGUCAAAACAUCAAAGAAUAGAUGACUCCAUUCCUGGACCGGGACGUUUCCAACCUGUUCUCCUCUUCCAACCCCCCACCUCUCCACUCACCGCAACUGGCCAUGGCAGAUGACUAUUCAACAGGAGUCUUGUUCUGAUUGCAGUCCCUUCCAUUAAACAGCUACAACUGCAGCUUUGUGCUCCUACUGUGAUCCUUCCUGUAGAUUUGCUUUUGAGAACAUUUGUCGUAAUUUUGUAACAUAUUACCGUAAGGGACCAAAGAGUGUGUGGAUAAAUCAUUCAACUUUUGGUCAGAUAUUAAGGUCAAUACUAAUGAGAGAGUUCAGACUUUGAAGCUUUUCUUCUUGCGGGUUUGCGCAUCUGGUGGGUUUGAAUCACACAUGGUUCAUCUAGAAAUAUUUUGAAAAUUUUCACUGCGCUUUAUCAUAAGUUAUUGUCCUGUUAGUAAAGCCACACAACCGUUCUAGUGCAGUGUAUUUAUUAUGUUAAGAGCUACAUGUCUGAAAAUUCAUGAGAGGUUGAUGGUUGCAAAAAACACACAAUCUACUGCUCCGAGGCAAUCGCUUAUGUUUGUCAUUUUCUAUAUUAUCAAAGCAUACAGCUAAUUUAUGAUACUGUCAUUGUCACUUUAUUUGCGCG